AUGAACGCUGGCGGCGUGCCUAAUACAUGCAAGUCGAGCGAACGGACGAGAAGCUUGCUUCUCUGAUGUUAGCGGCGGACGGGUGAGUAACACGUGGAUAACCUACCUAUAAGACUGGGAUAACUUCGGGAAACCGGAGCUAAUACCGGAUAAUAUUUUGAACCGCAUGGUUCAAAAGUGAAAGACAGUCUUGCUGUCACUUAUAGAUGGAUCCGCGCUGCAUUAGCUAGUUGGUAAGGUAACGGCUUACCAAGGCAACGAUGCAUAGCCGACCUGAGAGGGUGAUCGGCCACACUGGAACUGAGACACGGUCCAGACUCCUACGGGAGGCAGCAGUAGGGAAUCUUCCGCAAAGGGCGAAAGCCUGACGGAGCAACGCCGCGUGAGUGAUGAAGGUCUUCGGAUCGUAAAACUCUGUUAUUAGGGAAGAACAUAUGUGUAAGUAACUGUGCACAUCUUGACGGUACCUAAUCAGAAAGCCACGGCUAACUACGUG
Molecule: ribosomal RNA, 496 nt
Filed under: uncultured bacterium
Lineage: Bacteria
Description: partial 16S ribosomal RNA
Rfam family: Bacterial small subunit ribosomal RNA
Source: RNAcentral